GCUCAAAGUGUUGAGUUCAGUCCUGCUGUUCGGUGCCGGUCUGACAAUUAAACUUUGAAAAAGAAUCGAGCGGCGGCGUCUGACUUCACAUCGUCUCACGUGUGAAGUCUCGUCUCCGCCGACAUCG
Small nucleolar RNA from Pleuronectes platessa (European plaice), 127 nucleotides. NCBI's taxonomy places the organism in Eukaryota, Metazoa, Chordata, Actinopteri, Pleuronectiformes, Pleuronectidae. The record is from RefSeq and is a predicted model, not a curated record.